This 745-nucleotide ribosomal RNA is filed under the name Halomonas sp. MMRF667. Its description in RNAcentral is "bacterial SSU rRNA". It matches the Rfam family "Bacterial small subunit ribosomal RNA", at positions 288 to 1025 of the family's 1533-position model. Lineage: Bacteria; Pseudomonadati; Pseudomonadota; Gammaproteobacteria; Oceanospirillales; Halomonadaceae. The record is from RNAcentral.
UGGUCUGAGAGGAUGAUCAGCCACAUCGGGAGUGAGACACGGCCCGAACUCCUACGGGAGGCAGCAGUGGGGAAUAUUGGACAAUGGGCGAAAGCCUGAUCCAGCCAUGCCGCGUGUGUGAAGAAGGCCUUCGGGUUGUAAAGCACUUUCAGUGAGGAAGAAAGCCUUGAGGUUAAUACCCUCGAGGGAGGACAUCACUCACAGAAGAAGCACCGGCUAACUCCGUGCCAGCAGCCGCGGUAAUACGGAGGGUGCGAGCGUUAAUCGGAAUUACUGGGCGUAAAGCGCGCGUAGGCGGCUUGAUAAGCCGGUUGUGAAAGCCCCGGGCUCAACCUGGGAACGGCAUCCGGAACUGUCAGGCUAGAGUGCAGGAGAGGAAGGUAGAAUUCCCGGUGUAGCGGUGAAAUGCGUAGAGAUCGGGAGGAAUACCAGUGGCGAAGGCGGCCUUCUGGACUGACACUGACGCUGAGGUGCGAAAGCGUGGGUAGCAAACAGGAUUAGAUACCCUGGUAGUCCACGCCGUAAACGAUGUCGACUAGCCGUUGGGCUCCUUGAGAGCUUUGUGGCGCAGUUAACGCGAUAAGUCGACCGCCUGGGGAGUACGGCCGCAAGGUUAAAACUCAAAUGAACAGACGGGGGCCCGCACAAGCGGUGGAGCAUGUGGUUUAAUUCGAUGCAACGCGAAGAACCUUACCUACCCUUGACAUCGAGAGAACUUUCCAGAGAUGGAUUGGUGCCUUCGGGA